This 359-nucleotide long non-coding RNA is filed under the name Danio rerio (zebrafish). RNAcentral describes it as "si:dkey-31b16.15 (ENSDARG00000097461.2)". The record is from RNAcentral. Lineage: Eukaryota; Metazoa; Chordata; Actinopteri; Cypriniformes; Danionidae.
AUGUUAGACAAAUAUACAUUAUCUGAACAAACCAAAUUAUAUAUUUAUUGAAUUCACCAUGCACUUAUUCAGUAUUUAUAGAUUUAUUAUUCUGAUGAUGGCAUUCAUGUUUUGUUUAUGUAGCCUAGUAAGAAAAUAUUGAAAGAUUAAAGCAUUCAUAAUAGCAAGGACAAAAUAGCACAUAUAUCUUAAAUAAUACUUUAAUGUACACUAUUUCAUAAAGGCGGAUACAACUGAUAAAGUGAAGUUCAAUCAAAUUUUCCCAGUUUCCUAUGUUCUCCUUGGUUACCAGGUCUUUUAAUUUGUCCUUUAGGCUCAUGGCUGGUAUGCUGCAAAAUAAAAAGUGUUUUUACAUUUAA